RNAcentral lists this ribosomal RNA (502 nucleotides) under uncultured bacterium. RNAcentral describes it as "bacterial SSU rRNA". It matches the Rfam family "Bacterial small subunit ribosomal RNA", at positions 28 to 524 of the family's 1533-position model. The record is from RNAcentral.
GAUGAACGCUAGCGGCAGGCUUAAUACAUGCAAGUCGAGGGGCAGCACGGUUAGCAAUAACUGGUGGCGACCGGCGCACGGGUGCGUAACACGUAUACAAUCUACCUUAAACAGGGGGAUAGCCUUUCGAAAGAGAGAUUAAUACCCCGUAAUAAAUUGAACGGCAUCGUUUGAUUUUGAAAGCUCCGGCGGUUUGAGAUGAGUAUGCGUCUGAUUAGCUAGUUGGUGAGGUAACGGCUCACCAAGGCGACGAUCAGUAGGGGAUCUGAGAGGACUAACCCCCCACACUGGUACUGAGACACGGACCAGACUCCUACGGGAGGCAGCAGUAAGGAUAUUGGUCAAUGGAGGCAACUCUGAACCAGCCAUGCCGCGUGCAGGAUGACGGCCCUAUGGGGUUGUAAACUGCUUUUAUACAAGAGAAAACCCUGGUAACGUGUACCAGGUUGAUAGUAUUGUAAGAAUAAGCAUCGGCUAACUUCGUGCCAGCAGCCGCGGUAAU